Non-coding RNA from Dipodomys ordii (Ord's kangaroo rat), 70 nucleotides. The record is from Rfam. NCBI's taxonomy places the organism in Eukaryota, Metazoa, Chordata, Mammalia, Rodentia, Heteromyidae.
GGGAAUGUGGCUCAGGUGUAGAGUGCUUGCCUUGCAUGCAUGAGGCCCUGGGUUCGAUUCCUCAGUACCA